GCGGACGGGUGAGUAAUGGCUGGGAACCUGCCUGGUAGAGGGGGAUAACCACUGGAAACGGUGGCUAAUACCGCAUGAUGUCUUUGGACCAAAGAGGGGGACCUUCGGGCCUCUCGCUACCGGAUGGGCCCAGUUGGGAUUAGCUAGUUGGUGGGGUAAAGGCUCACCAAGGCGACGAUCCCUAGCUGGUUUGAGAGGAUGAUCAGCCACACUGGAACUGAGACACGGUCCAGACUCCUACGGGAGGCAGCAGUGGGGAAUAUUGCACAAUGGGCGCAAGCCUGAUGCAGCCAUGCCGCGUGUGUGAAGAAGGCCUUCGGGUUGUAAAGCACUUUCAGCCGUGAGGAAGGCAUUGUACUUAAUACGUGCAGUGUUUGACGUUAGCGGCAGAAGAAGCACCGGCUAACUCCGUGCCAGCAGCCGCGGUAAUACGGAGGGUGCGAGCGUUAAUCGGAAUUACUGGGCGUAAAGCGCAUGCAGGCGGUCUGUUAAGCAAGAUGUGAAAGCCCCGGGCUUAACCUGGGAACCGCAUUUUGAACUGGCAGGCUAGAGUCUUGUAGAGGGGGGUAGAAUUUCAGGUGUAGCGGUGAAAUGCGUAGAGAUCUGAAGGAAUACCGGUGGCGAAGGCCGCCCCCCUGGACAAAGACUGACGCUCAGAUGCGAAAGCGUGGGGAGCAAAACAGGAUUAGAUACCCUGGUAGUCCACGCCCGUAAACGAUGUCUACUUGG
Molecule: ribosomal RNA, 729 nt
Filed under: Grimontia marina
Lineage: Bacteria; Pseudomonadati; Pseudomonadota; Gammaproteobacteria; Vibrionales; Vibrionaceae
Description: bacterial SSU rRNA
Rfam family: Bacterial small subunit ribosomal RNA
Source: RNAcentral